CUCAUAUUUUCUACAGGCCAUGCUCAGCAUGAUCUUCAAAUUGCUGGAUCUACUCCGUUUAACACUUCAGAAAUUGCAGGAGAAAUUACCUGCUUAAUUGUAUGCAGAAAGGAAGUGUGUGGGAAUACAGAAAGUACACAACUAUUAAAGACCAGAAAGAGAAAUCAGAGAUAGCACGUCUGCUCACAUCCCUAGCAGACAUCACAG
Molecule: long non-coding RNA, 207 nt
Filed under: Cercocebus atys (sooty mangabey)
Lineage: Eukaryota; Metazoa; Chordata; Mammalia; Primates; Cercopithecidae
Description: lncRNA (ENSCATG00000045450.1)
Source: RNAcentral